CUGCUCUGUGCCUGUUAACAAGACUUCACCACAAACAACAACAAAAAGAGGAAGUGGGAGGAAGUGCAUCUGGGUGCAAAUACUGUGAGAUGCUGCGAACGCUAUCGCUGUAAUCUGAACACCUACAAGAAGCUGUUUUCUGGCUUGCAUGAUAGGGGAUGCUAAAUAUUUUUUUGCACCCCCUUUCAAAGUGUGGAAACUUCCUUUUUCUGUAAAGUCUCAUUCUCGGAAUGAGGCUGUGUGUGACAGACUGAUACAAGUGGGUCCUCUGAGUUUUUAUUUGUUUCAGAAAUCCAGUUGUAGUCCCACAUGAGAUGGAGGCUCAGACAGUCACGUGGGUGGUUUUUCUGGCCCUGAUAAAACAUGUUUCUACAAGUGACCCU
Hippoglossus stenolepis (Pacific halibut) is the source of this 383-nucleotide RNA transcript. RefSeq lists it as uncharacterized. NCBI's taxonomy places the organism in Eukaryota, Metazoa, Chordata, Actinopteri, Pleuronectiformes, Pleuronectidae. The record is from RefSeq and is a predicted model, not a curated record. The transcript has 3 exons.